AUUGAACGCUGGCGGUAGGCCUAACACAUGCAAGUCGAACGGCAGCACAGUAAGCGCUUGCUCUUACGGGUGGCGAGUGGCGAACGGGUGAGGCAUACAUCGGCAGCUACUUUUUCGUGGGGGAUGACGUAGGGAAACAUACCGCAUAACCGCAUACGGCCUACGGGUGAGAUCUUGGGAUCUCCGGACCUUGCGCGAUUCGAUGAGCCGAUGGCGGAUUAGCUAGUUGGCGGGGUAAAGGCCCACCAAGGCGACGAUCUGUAGCUGGUCUGAGAGGACGACCAGCCACACUGGGACUGAGACACGGCCCAGACUCCUACGGGAGGCAGCAGUGGGGAAUUUUGGACAAUGGGCGAAAGCCUGAUCCAGCAAUGCCGCGUGUGUGAUGAAGGCCUUCGGGUUGUAAAGCACUUUUGGCGGGAACGAAAAGGACUGUGCCAAUACCACGGUGCGAUGACGGUACCCGAAGAAUAAGCACCGGCUAACUACGUG
Molecule: ribosomal RNA, 492 nt
Filed under: uncultured bacterium
Lineage: Bacteria
Description: partial 16S ribosomal RNA
Rfam family: Bacterial small subunit ribosomal RNA
Source: RNAcentral